UGCAAUACAAUACCACCACUAAAUCCUUCAAAACUGACAAUGUCCCAUACAGCAAUAACACAAAUGCUGCCAAAUACCCAAAGCAAAAAGUGAAGCAGAACCUUCAAAUCACCAUUCAAUAGAUAGAUCGGCCAACAGAGCCUUUCAAUCAUUCAUAA
Ipomoea nil (Japanese morning glory) is the source of this 158-nucleotide long non-coding RNA. RefSeq lists it as uncharacterized. The record is from RefSeq and is a predicted model, not a curated record. NCBI's taxonomy places the organism in Eukaryota, Viridiplantae, Streptophyta, Magnoliopsida, Solanales, Convolvulaceae. The transcript is spliced from 3 exons.